GGGUCGAUGCCCGAGUGGUUGAAUGGGGACGAAUUGUAAAUUCGUAGACAAUAUGUCUACGCUGGUUCAAAUCCAACUCGGUGAA
This is a non-coding RNA of Centaurea solstitialis (yellow star-thistle), 85 nucleotides long. Lineage: Eukaryota; Viridiplantae; Streptophyta; Magnoliopsida; Asterales; Asteraceae. The record is from the annotation of a GenBank genome assembly.